GGCAUCUGCGCGGGAGAGCUCUCUGGCCGGUCCAAUUGGACGUGCCGGGGGCACCGAAGGAGCAACCGCCCCGGAAACUCUCAGGUCACAGGGACCGCGCAGCUGGU
Molecule: non-coding RNA, 107 nt
Filed under: Aurantiacibacter marinus
Lineage: Bacteria; Pseudomonadati; Pseudomonadota; Alphaproteobacteria; Sphingomonadales; Erythrobacteraceae
Description: Erythrobacter marinus Glycine sequence
Rfam family: Glycine riboswitch aptamer
About the family: This family represents the bacterial glycine riboswitch. Glycine riboswitches usually consist of two metabolite-binding aptamers domains with similar structures in tandem.
Source: Rfam by way of RNAcentral